UACAGAGGUCCCAAGCGUUGUUCGGAUUCAUUGGGCGUAAAGGGUGCGCAGGCGGCGCGGUAAGUCGGGUGUGAAAUCUCGGAGCUUAACUCCGAAACUGCAUUCGAUACUGCCGUGCUUGAGGACUGGAGAGGAGACUGGAAUUUACGGUGUAGCGGUGAAAUGCGUAGAUAUCGUAAGGAAGACCAGUGGCGAAGGCGGGUCUCUGGACAGUGCCUGACGCUGAGGCACGAAGGCCAGGGGAGCAAACGGG
Molecule: ribosomal RNA, 253 nt
Filed under: uncultured bacterium
Lineage: Bacteria
Description: partial 16S ribosomal RNA
Rfam family: Bacterial small subunit ribosomal RNA
Source: RNAcentral